Molecule: long non-coding RNA, 365 nt
Organism: Selaginella moellendorffii
Lineage: Eukaryota; Viridiplantae; Streptophyta; Lycopodiopsida; Selaginellales; Selaginellaceae
Exons: 3
Source: RefSeq, a predicted model, not a curated record
AUGCAGUGUACUCUUACUCCCUCUGCUGCUAUCGCUGCGGCAGUGCAAGGUAGGAUGGGAAAGCACCGUUAAGACAAACACGGCAAGAGGGAAACGAGUGGGAGACAAGACAAGCAACGGAACUGGCUGGACAGAGCUGUUCUUGGGAGUCUGGAGCCUCGCCCAUCAUCAGGCUCGCCCAUCAUCAGAUUAUCGCUAUAGUCUCGAUUGACAAAAACUUCACAGUUCAUUGAAUCUUUGGUGGUGGUUUGCGAAGUACUCUACGAUGAUUCUCUCUACGAGAAUGCCAAGAACAUCACAAGCAAGCGUAGCUAAGAAAUGAUUUGUUGCUCACGACGCUGCAUAAUAGAUAUCAUUGAAAGCCA